RNAcentral lists this long non-coding RNA (40491 nucleotides) under Sorghum bicolor (sorghum). RNAcentral describes it as "long non-coding RNA (SBIC_LNC007386)". Lineage: Eukaryota; Viridiplantae; Streptophyta; Magnoliopsida; Poales; Poaceae. The record is from RNAcentral.
GCCACCACUCCAACACCGGCUCCCUGGAGCGCGACGAGGUGUUCGUGCCAAAGACGAAGGGGGCGCUGGCGUGGUACGCCCCGUACGUGUACAACAACCCCGUCGGGCGGCUGGUGCACAUCGUCGUGCAGCUCACCCUCGGGUGGCCGCUGUACCUGGCCACCAACGUGUCGGGACGCCCGUACCCGCGCUUCGCCUGCCACUACGACCCCUACGGCCCGAUCUACAACGACCGGGAGCGCGCGCAGAUCUUCGUCUCGGACGCCGGCGUCAUGGCCGUCUCGUUCGGGCUGUACAAGCUGGCGGCGACCUUGGGGUUCUGGUGGGUGGUGCGCGUCUACGCCGUGCCGCUGCUGAUCGUGAACGUGUGGCUGGUUCUCGUCACGUACCUGCACCACACCCACCCGGCGCUCCCCCACUACGACUCGAGGGAGUGGGACUGGCUGCGCGGCGCGCUGUCCACCGUGGACCGCGACUACGGCGUCUUCAACCGUUUUUUCCACAACAUCACCGACACACACGUCGUGCACCACCUCUUCUCCACGCUGCCGCACUUCCACGCCACGGAGGCUACCAAGGCGAUCAAGCCCAUCCUCGGCGAGUACUACCAGUUCGACCCCACUCCCAUCGCCAAGGCGACCUGGCGCGAAGCCAGGGAGUGCAUCUUUGUCGAGCCCGAGGAAGGCAGGGGCGUCUUCUGGUACAACAAGUUCUAGCUGCUUGAUGCGCGGAACUCAGGAUUGAGGUGAUCGUCCAUACUUUCACCGGAUUGGGAGAAGAAAUCAGGAAGAGAAGGCGGUAAAAAUGUUGUACCGAGUGUCCAUCCACCGAUACAUGGUUAUAGUCAUCACUCUUCAAUCUUUUUUUUUCAAAAGGCGGCAACAAACUUUUGCCGGAUUUUUAUUUGAUAAGGAAAACGAAAAUAAAUGGAUUUACAGUCUUACAAAAAUGAGUCUGAGCUCGCUUCCACUUUGGCACCUAGGACAACCCCUCUACUUUGAAAACGACCAAAAAAAAAACUUGAGGAAACUAAGGCCUUGUUUAGAUGGAGGGUGAAAAAAUUUUGGGUGUCACAUUGAAUGUUUUAUAGGAUGUCGGAAGGGGUAUUCGGAUACUAAUAAAAAAACUAAUUACAUAACUCGUCUGGAAAUUGUGAGACAAAUUUAUUAAGCCUAAUUAAUCCAUCAUUAUUAUAUAUAGGUUACUGUAGCACUUAAGGCUAAUUAUGAACUAACUAAUCUUAAAAGAUUCGUCUCAUGAUUUUCAACCUAACUGUGUAAUUAGUUUAUUUUUAUAUAUAUAUUUAAUACUUCAUGUAUGUGUCUAAACAUUCGAUAUGAUGGGUGAAAAGUUUUUGGUAUGGGAACUAAACAAAGCCUAAAUAAACACACCACCUGAAGUACUAGCGAGAAAACCUGAAUGGGAGGGGAAAAAAAAAGAAGACCACUGCAACUAACUGCUUCAAGGAUUUGGCCACGUGGCUAGUUGGGUUUGAUUUCUUCCUUGCACGAGAAGGCUACCUCUCUUUGUUACAAGCCUUUGUUUUGAGAGGUUAUCCUAUUUCUUUCUUUUCAUGGUUCUACCAAAAAUAUAUUUCGAUUCUAUCAAAUCUUUUUUUUUGAAAAAAAAAUACAUACAUACAUGAUGCACCCAGGUUCGAUACAUGGAUACUCCCUCUGUAUCAUUUAAAAACGUUGUUAUGGCCUCUCCCCUCAAUUGCAAUACAGACGUGAAUGUCCUUGCCUCUUUGAUCGCCGCACUAUGCACUCGUAGCCUCAAUCUCCAUCCACGCCGUUCCCACUCGCCUCUCGUGCGUAGUCUGCGCUCGCCACUCACCUCUCGUUUCCCAUCCGUGUCUGCUCGCCACGUCCGUUUCUUAAGCCCUAACCACGGCCGGAGAUGUGAAGUGAAUGGAAACGUACUGCUAGCAAGCUUCUGAAUGGAAAUAUAGAUGCUAGCUAGCUUGCCUCUUUCCCCAUUUGCGACCGUUUCUCGCUACUCGCCGCUCACCUCUCACGUCCACUGCUCGUGCUCACCGCGAUCGUCGCUCGCACUCACCGCGGUCGCAGCUCGUGCUCACUGCUCACUUUCCAUGGCUGCGGUGUCGGUGGGCUCGAUGGAUGCGGUGCGGGAGCAGAUAGGGAAAACUCUACCCUAAUUAAUUAUUCUUUGAUAUGCUAAAUGUUGUUAUAAACUUCAUUUUUUUCUAGUAUAAGUCAAUCUGCUGCCACGUGGACAACUCGACAACAUCUACGGUCCUCGUUCUGUGAUUGGCUGGGCUCUGUCGCCCGCACCCUGCCGUCAUCGGCCCAGCCGUGCUCGCUGGUGGUCCUCCCCAGGAGAUGGGUCCGCGCGACGAUGCCAGGCCUACCAGUCCCAAGGAGUUUGGUCGGCCGUUGCUUCAACUGGUUCGCAAUGCAUGUCGCUGCCUCCUGUCGUGGGCUGAUUUUUCCUCAAACUGCAUUUCGUGGGCUGAUUUUUCUGUGUACUAGUACUGUGUUCAUCCGCUAUUCCGUUGUGUAUAUUGGCCAUAAGUGAUAAAUCUACGAACUCAGAGAUAGUUCCUGGGUCAUGUUGUAGUCAAUGUCUGCAUUCCACCUAUCGUUUUGCAGUGCCUCGGCCACUGACCGAUUUUUUCUUUUGUUGUGCCAUACCCUCCGAAAGAAUAAAAAAUUUUAUUUUUCAAGAAGUCAAAUAAUUUAAACUUUAACUAAUUUCUAUAAAAAAGUAUCUAACAUUCAUAAUAAAAAAUAAGUAUUAUUAGAUUAAAAUAUACUUUUAUAAUAAAUUUAUUUAGAGACAUAAAUACUAAUAUUAUUUACUAUAAAUUUGAUCAAACUUAUGUCAGUUCAACUGACACGGAUUCUAUAAUUGCAUUCUUUGUUACGUGUAGGAUCUUGCAGAUAUCGUAUUCGUUCACUUAUUUUACAAACCGUAUUUUUUCUACCAAUCAAUAGUAUGAACAAUACUUUCACCUGUAACUAUUUAGAAACAGGCUCAUCGUGACGCAUCGUGACGACCAGAAGGAAGCCUUUUUGGACAUUCCCCAACUGCACAAGGGCUGCUGCAGUGAUGAUCAUCUUAUCACAAUCUCAUCCACAGGGCAGCUGCAUACGGCAUACCUUUCCAAAGGUCUGUCUUCUUUUUUUUUUUGACCAACUGAACCUGAUCCAUCUGAUUCUCAAUGCCUGGGGAGAAGAGCUCCAUGUCAAGAAUGCCCAGCCCCAGACCUCCCGUGGUGUUGGCAUGCAUAAUUUGGUCUAUGCUGCCUUGUAGUAUCUCAAAGUCCGGAUCUAAAUUAGAAACCAUAUAAACUAUGUUGCAAAGAUUAUAGAAACCGGAUCUAAGUUAGAAACCAUAUCUACAAGAGAACCAAGACAUAAAGAAAUAUAAUUGGUAGAGAAUGAACUCCAUCCGUCCACGAAAGAGUAAAUUUCUAGAGUUGUUCUAAGUCAAACUUUUUAAAUUUUGACCAAAUUUCUAGAAAAAAAUACUAAGAUUUAUGGUAUCAAAUUAGUACUAUUAGAUUCAUCAUAUAAUAUAUUUUCAUAUGAUGUGCAUUUUAUGUCAUAGAUGUUGUUACUCUUUUCUAUAAAGUUAGACAAACUUAAAAAAAAUUGACUGACACGGAUUCUAGGAAUUGACGGAGGGAGUAUAGAAACUAUGUUUAGUUUAUAGCAACUAUAUUUGCUAUUGUCCAUAGCAACACACGGGUAAUAGCCUGGUACCCAGCCUCUCAGUAUUUGACAUCGAAUUCGUAAGCAUUUCAAAAUGUAAUCCAGGACACGCCAAUUCUUUCAAUCCGAGAGAUUCGGUACCGAGAGUCCGAGACAGUGCAUCGACGCCGAGCAACCACUGCUCGCUGUCGCUGGACAGCUGAGGCCUCAGGGACCGCGUGCGUCCUGCCUGCGCGCCGCUGCAGCGCUGCUCCCGCUCGCGGCUCGCUUGUCUGAGCAGCACCGCUUGCGCACUCUGCAGUCUUCAUGGCGCCACCUUGCCACCUUGGCCGCCUCGCACCGCCCUCGCCGUCGUCUGCAACCCGUCAGUCCCCGCCGCGCCAUCACUCUGAGCAGACCAUCGUCACACGCGGCGUGGCCGGUGGUGACACCUGCAGAGCAUGCUCGCCACUUGUCAGUUCUUUCAGCAAGCUGCCAGCACCGAGCUCGCUUGUUUGCUUGUUGCUAGUAUGGGUAUGGCAGACAUCAGGCGACAAGAGUUGUAGGAGCCAUGUACAUAGAUGGGUAUCUUUCUUUCGGUUCUUGGAACUUGAUUCACAGGUGGAUGUCUCCAAGAUGGUUGGUAGUGCUGGCGCAUGCAUUUCGAUCAUCAGAGUAGUAUGCAACAUCGCCUGUAACUGAAUGAAGCAUACGUACCAAGGCGUUUUCUGUUGCCUUUAUGGAUGACCUCUUCGAGUCCCUGUGAGGACAGUGACGUCUAAGUUAGUUUGGAUGCUCAAGUUGAAGAUGAAGGAACAAUGGAACACGGUUGGUAAUCACACAUCAUCACGAGCACGAUGAAGUUAGCAGAGCAACCUGAAAUGGAGUGAGAGACUAGAGACCGGUGAAGGCCAGAGUGCGCGGCCCAGUAUUUCAGCCCACUGGAGGGGGAGGGGGGCAGAAAUCAAAACUGAAAUUGAGCGCUGCGCGUUUGAAACGACAGCAGAUGAGCAGACAGAGUGAAGAGUCUCCAAAUCUGACAGUUAUUCAGCAGUGUGUUUUUAUAAAUAUAUAAAUAAUAAAUUAACUUUGUGUCUAAUGAUCUAUAGUUUUUAUGAAUUCAAAAAGAAAUAUGCUGUAGUUUAGUUUAGAGCAACAACACAGUGCAUGUCUGCAUUGCCUGGCUCAAAGAUAAGACUCGCACUACAGUGAAAUGCUCCGGCACACAAAUUGAUGGUGAAUCCAACUAAACUGUUUCCUCCCUCUCAAAAUAACUACUCCUCUGUUCCUAAAUUUAUGUUGCGACCAUUGUUUGUAUAUCAAUAAGUUUGUCUAAAUUUAUAAAAAAUAUUAACAAUAUUUAUAUCUUCAAAUAAAUUUAUUAUCAAAAUAGAUUUGAUAAUCUAUCUAAUAAUUCUAAUUAUAUACCAUAAAUACUAAUAUUGUUUUAUAUAUAUUUAGUCAAUGUUUUUUCUUGAAAAGCGAAAACAACAAUUAAAAGGGACGGAGGAAGUACACAUCAAGCUAUUUGAGAUACCAAAUUUUAUUGUAUUUUAACCAAAUCUAUAUAAUAUAUAUAUAUAUAGUGUAAUAAGUAACAAGUAUCAUUAAAUUGAUAUUAGAUAUAUUUUGUAAUAAACAUAUUAUUUUAAUGUGACCGGAGGGAGAUUGCUCCCAACCUUAAAACAUAUUAUAUAGCCCAAAACGACUUGAUAUAAAUUUACAAAAGUUUACGAAGAAACUACAAAAACACCGAACAAACCUAGCAUUAGGGCGAAAAGUGGCAAAACCACAAAAACACAGCGGAAAGCAAGGACUACCACACGCAAGACACGAAAGCUCUUUGACGAUACCCCUAGGGAGGUGAAUGACGUCAGAACACAAUCAUCGUCAGCCAAGUAGAAGCUUGGCAAGGCUUUUGCCUGAGCCUUGUGCCGAUGGAGAGCUACAAUGAAUGGCCCAUGGGAAGAAGCGGCUAAAUGUUCUUCAACAACACCUUUAAGAAGGAAAAUCUUGUCACUAGCCUAGACAUGAUCUAAGUUGAACUUUAGCCCAGAACCUUUACAAGUGUUCUUGCCGAUCGUCACCAUAUGUCACCCGGAGACGUUCGGACUCGCCCGCGACGACGGGAGGCGCGCACCGGUAGUGCCAGUUGUCACCACACGCCAUGGAGCCCUAUGGACUCGCUCAUGACGUCGGGAGCAGUGCACUGGCAGUGCCAGUCGCCACCACACGUCGUAGAGACGUUCAAACUCGCCCGCGACAACGGGAGGCGCGCACUGGUGCUACUAGUCGCCGCCACACGUCACGAAGCCGUUCGGACUCGCCCGCGACAAUGGGAGGCACGCACUGACGCCGCCCAUCGCCGCCGCACGCCGCGGAGCUGUUCGGACUCGCCCGCGACACCCGGAGGCGCGCACCGGCAGUGCCAGUCACCGCCACAUGCCACAGAGCCGUUCGGACUCGUCCGCGACAACAGGAGGCGCGCACCGGUAGAGUCAGUCGCCACCACACGUCGCUGAGGCACGCACCGACACCGACCAGGAGGUCUCUUGGUGAAGAGACGUUGAUGCCAGCCAUCGCCACACGGGGACGGUGGACUAUGACCGAGGUAGAAGAGCGGGCCGCCGCUGCACGAGAAUGGCAUGUCCGCCCACCCAACCCGCUCAUGCAGCAGCAGCAACAUCCGCGCCGUGGUCCUCCCUUAUCGUGGAACGCCGGCUCCCCUCGUCUCUAGGUAGACCCUCCGUCGUGCAUGGCGGCUCGCCACACACCGUCAUGGCCGCCUGAAAGGAUCAAGAUGCCCAAGAGGGGGGGGGUGAAUUGGGCUUCUCUAAAAAUUUAAGCAACCUAUAAGCUCCAAUUCAACCCCUUGUGCCUAGUGUGACUUAGAGAGCUACCGGAUAAAAGUUUUGCAACCUAGUUCCAAUCCUGUUCUAGCAUGGCAAUUCUAAGAAUGUAAGAGCACAAAGUAAAUGCUAGAAAGUAAGGGAGUAGUGGAAGAAAAUGCUCGGCGAUGUUUUGCCGAGGUAUCGGAGAGUCGCCACUCUCCACUAGUCCUCGUUGGAGCACCCGCGCAAGGGUCUUGCUCCCCCUUGGUCCGCGCAAGGACCAAGUGCUCUCUACGGGCUGAUUCUUCGACACUCCGUCGCGGUGAAUCGCCCAAAACCGCUCACAAGCUUGACACGAGCCACCCACAAGAACUCCGGGUGAUCUUCGUGCCUCCAAUCACCACCGAACCGUCUAGGUGAUGGCGAUCACCAAGAGUAAAAAGCAAAGAACUCUCACUUGACCCAAACAAGGCACUAGAGAGUGAUGGAUGCACACUUGACUCUUGGAACUCACUAGAGGAUGAUUCUCUCAAGAAUUCACUCAAAACUCAAUCCUCUCUAGGCUCUUUGCAACUCUCUUGCUCCACAACAAGUUUCUCUGAUGUUCAAAUGGGCAAGAGAGGUCUCAUGGACGAAGUGGAGAAGUAUAAAUACUAUCCACGAAGUCCAAAGGUCGGCCAACCGUUUUCCACUGAAAACGGGGUCACCGGACGCACGUUAUGUUGCACCGGACGCGUUGCACUGAGCGUCCGGUGUGACAUAACGGCUACCUGCGCUUUUCUCUGACAGGUCAUCGGACGCUAACUCGCAGCGUCCGGUGCACCGUCCGGUGCUCGGGGAAACUUUACAUGUUCCCUGCGCAUGGGACCGGACGCUACCCGGCGCGUCCGGUGCUAGCGUCCGGUGCACAGGGGAACUUUGCAAGCUCCCUGGGUAAGGGACCGGACGCUACACGGUGCGUCCGGUGCUAGCGUCCGGUGCCUAACCCUAAGCACGGCACUGUUCUAACGGCUAAGGACCUCACCGGACGCACUCACAGAGCGUCCGGUGCAGCGUCCGGUGCCCCUUUGGGCACCCAAACUUCGUCGAAACGCGAUCGCUCCAACACGAAGUUUGUUCCUCUCGAUCUAAGGACUAUCUCUGAGCUGCCUAGUGCUGGGUUUACCAAGUGUGCACCACACCUAAACCUAAAGCCUUGCCUAAGUCAAGCUACUAGAUCAAAGCCCCUCUUAAUAGUACGGUCAAAGGAAAAACAAGGUCCUAAACUACUCUAAGUGCCCUUCUUCACCAUGUGGCACUUAGACCUAGUCUAGUCUUGACGAUGUCCAUCCAACCUUUGAAAACCGAAACGAUUUCCACUAUUAAGUAGGCAUGUACGUCCCUGUCCAUCGAGUAUCUAUAUACCAUGACCUUACCUAUGACUUUGCCUCUGCAAAACACACGUUAGUCAUAGUAACCAAUAAUGUCAUUAAUCACCGAAACUCUAGGGGCCUAGAUGCUCUUUCAAUCUCCCCCUUUUUGGUGAUUGAUGACAACCUCGAGUAUGAAAAGAGUUGAGGUUUUCAAAGAGACUUGGUUUCAAUAAGCAUAUUACAAUAAGAAUAAAAGGAUUAGCAAUGCUUAUAUCAACCAAGUCUAAUACCCUGCAUCCAAAUAUGUGAGUGGUAUACGAUAGGAUAUAAACACUAGGCUCAUAAGAAUAUCGGAGUAAGAACGCGGAAGCAAAGGUAAUAUGAGCCAAAACACAUGACAUUAAGAUAUCACAAUAAGCACAAAUCAUGUCUCAUAACCAUAGUAUCUCACACAAGUGCAAUGCAUAAAAGUAAACGUGAUGCAUGAUAGAGUAGCACACAUAAAGAGUAUCUCAAAAGAAUAGACUCCUCACAAGAAGACUCCUAAAGCCUCUCUAGCUCCCCCUAACUCCUAACUCUCAUACUACGAACUCUCUCCCCCUUUGGCAUCAAGCGCCAAAAACCUAAGAAGUCGGUGGAGGAGACGGAGCAGUGGAGUCCCUCGGCACGGCCACGAAGCGAGCUGCAUCAUCUGAACUGUCGGCCGUCGAGGCAGAGGAGGUGGAGUGACCCUCUGAAGCUGCAGGUGCUGGAGAAGCGGUCCGGGUCUGCUCUGGCGCUAUCACAGGCUGUGCUGGCUGCUCAAGUCCGGCUGACGAAGCUGGCACGGACUCGGUCGCUGUAGCUGUCGUCUCUGGAACGGUAGUAGACGGUGCAAGCUGCUCGGACGACGCUACGGACGACGACAGAAGCUCUGUAGUGGUAACUGGCGCUGUAAAGACUGCAGGAGCCUGCAGAGGAGAAGGCGUAGGGUCACCAGUCAGAGCACUGUAGGUGAAGCUGAGGUGCGGAUCUGUCUGCGAGUCCCACACAAGCUGCGACGCUGAAGCUGACUGAGGGGUGAAGCCUGAGCGGAGAGGGGUAAACUGCGGUACCUGCUCAAAGCCUGAAGAGAUAGCACCCUGAGAGACCUGGUGCUGUGGCGUCGAAAACGGCUGACUCUGAGCUGGUAGCUGGAGCGGCUGCUGAGACGGGCUCUGAGUCUGAGGCACUGGAGUAGGUGGCCUGACAGUCGACGUGCCUGGGAGCUGGAUCUGCGGUAGCUGAAUCCCUGAGGCGGCCAUGAGAGCGGCCAUCAUCGCUGUCUGCUGGGCCUGGAAAGCAAGCUGCUGCUCCUGAAAAGUGAGAAGCUGACGCUGGAGCUCAUCCUGCCUGGCCUGCAUGGCUGCAUUGAUGGCAGCCUGAUCCCAGUCUCGCCUCGCCUGCUCCUCAGCUGCACGGCGCUGAUCUGCCCUCAUCCCCUCUAAGAUAGCAAGCAGGGCAGGGUCUGAAGUACUCGAAGAACCGCCUGCCUCAUGGUCGUGAGCUCUAGGAGGAAGAUCAGUCACUGGCGGCUGAUAGUCGUCGUCUGAACUGUCUGAGGCGAAGUCAAACUCGCCCUCUGCCUCUGCAUCGGCGAACGCGCCGAUAGCUACGUCCUGCUGCUCCUCUGUCUCUGCAACAGCUACUGUACUGCGGGUGCCCCUAGGAGAAGGUAGGGGCACCGGUCCACGUGGAGCACGAGGAGGAGGGGCACCGCGAAGGUCGUGGUGCGCUCUCAACAUCUGCCGGGGGUCGUAGUGGGGGAAGACGGUGUCGGACUCUGUCAACUCCCUCUGCAAGUGAGCUGGCAUGGGCAGUGGCCUAGCACGAAGUAUAAGCAGGGUGAUCCAAUGUGCGUAGGGCAACUGACGCCGGCCCCUGAAGCUCUCUGAGAUGGUGUCCUCUAUCUCUGAGACAAUCAGAUCCCACAAAUCAAACUCUGUCUGGGAGAUGAGGUGAGCAACUAACCACUGCUGGAUGCGAGUGAACCCGUCUCUGUAGCCUGUCCUGGGGAGAAGGGUCUUCCUCAACACGAAGUCAAGGAUCCUGGCUGGGCGUAUCAAGUCACCCACUGUCCUGCUGGAGCCCUCCCCAAAAGGUGCACGGAAGCAUGGAGCCACGAAGUCGACUGGUGGUAUCUCACCACCGUGAGGACGACGAGGGGGAUCCACGUUCCCAUAGCAUAGCUGGUGAAUCCUGGUGGGAGAGGCUCGCAGUCCAAGUACCUCUCUGGCCCUCUGAGCUGUCACUCUGUAGUCUGUCCCCGCCAGUGCGUAGUGGAUAUAACUGUGAUCUGGAGAAACCCACACUGACGCAUAGAACUCUCUGACCCACUGCUCACAGUAAGUGCCGGGGAGUGCUAGUAACUCUGGAAGUCCGUGGAGGUAGGUAAAAUACUGACGAAUAUCAGCUCCAACUACGUUCCCCAGUAUCUCCAGGUCGAUCACUCGGUGCUCCCUGAACUGAGCCUGAGAGCGAACCAGUGCCUCGUAGAUGUCCUCCUGGAUGACUGUGUAGAACCUGGCACCGGCUCUAGGAUCCCUGGCAGCUGGAAACCAGGUGGGAAACGGAACGAACCUCAGCUGCUGGAUCUCUCUGGCUGACACAAGAGAAAGAUCCCUGUGGAUCCUGACUGGCCUCGGGCGUGAAGCUGGUGUACCUCUCGCUGGUGUGGCACGAGCUGUGGAAGUGGACUGACCCGGCGUGCCGGUCCGAGGAACGGCCUGGGUGCGAGCACGAGUCGACCUCCUGAGUGGCUGCUCCUGUUCCUGUGCUGGACCCUCUGCCUGGGUCUCUGUCUCAGUGUCUGGAUCCUCCUGAGCUGGAUCCCUGACCACAAGCCUAACCCUCUGUCCUCCAAUCAUCACGGUGCCUGGAGGGGAUCCAUGGAAAGCCUCUGCCUCAAGCACUGCACGCCUCUGACGCGGCGUAAGAUCAUCACCGAUCCUCAGAGAACCAGAGCGACCACCCCUCUCGGCUGCCUCAGCCGCUGCUGCAACUGCCUCUGCGACCUUUGCAUCUCUGUCACUGGCCUUCCGCUUCUUUGUCGCCAGCUUCUUGCCUUUUCCCUUCUCUACCGCUGACAGGCGCCGGGGAGGAUCACCUCCACCAUCUCCUCCUGGAGAACCUCCGGAGCCAGCUGUCGGACCACUGACGUUCUUGGUGCGAGCCAUUGCGAAACAAGAGUCCGACAAACAACCGACUAACAAUGGAGUUUAACGCGCUGCAGGGAAACGACAAGAUAGGAUGUAUAUAAGCAAACAUAUCGACUAGAGAUGAGAUAAACCUAUGGAUCGCAAGAAAAGAUAAGAUACGGGCAUGAACAGCUUACGAUCCACGGACGAGAUGCGUUCCGAAAGAGAUGACACGAUCGGGAACUGCCGGAGAACGCGAAGCUCCUCCUUAAGGUGCUGCACAGGGUUAACGAAGAAGAUCAGAGUCAAAACCCCUUUUCUAAUCCGUUGAGACAAAAAUUCAAACACCUUAAGGGCAGGAAACUUAAGAGACUCACUCAAGCCUUCAAAUCACUGCGAGAUUGAAUCUGCGCAAGGGAAGAAGGAAGAGGGAGAGGCUCCGGAGUGGAUCUGGCGCGGGGGAACCUCCAAGGACGCCGCGGAUGGCCGGAAUUCGACGGCGGCGGCGGCGCUAGGGCAGGGCGCGGGCGCGGGAAGAGAACCGGAGAGGAAAAAGAUCGGCCGCGAGAUGCCCCUGGGCGCGGGCUUUAUGCGCCCGCCGCGGGGUCACCGGACGCUCUUUAUGUUGCACCGGACGCGUCCGGUGACCACCGGACUCAUGCGCAGAGAGGUUUGCAUUUUAGUUUUGCACCGGACGAUGGGCACCGGACGCUGGCUUUAGCGUCCGGUGCUUCAGGUCACACCAGGUGAGCACCGGACGCACCGCACCGGACGCAACAGGGAUACUGUUCCUAUGUCCGGUGAGUACAGUCUGGCGCAUUCACCGCACCGGACGCUCAAAGGCAGCAUCCGGUGCAUCGUCCGGUGCUCCUCUGAGCACUUUUCCAACUAAGCACCACGUCCGACUUUGACCCAACCAAGUUCCAUCUUCAAAAGCACACAAGGAAACACCAAAUGGAACUGGUAUGAGUGACCUCUCUCAAACCCUCAAAUUUUCACAAAUAUUUAGCCAUAGGCUUAGUAGUUUUUAUGAAGGUAGUUCGAGAAAAAAAUCACCAAGGAGCAUCGUAUGGCCAUAAAGCUAGGGGGUUAAAACAUAAUGAGCUUUGAAUGCUCCCCCUAUCUAUGGACGAACACAGCGGAUGCUCAACGAAUAACCGAAAAGAAACGAUCAACUAACAAGCAUGCACAUGAUAUGAGUUGUAGUGCAAUAUUUGAGAGAAAACUAAUGCUUGUCAAGUUUGAUCCAAGGUUAAGCUUUUUCACACACACAAGGGGGUUAUCUUAACCAUGUUAGACAAGCCCUACAUGCAAGUUAUAUUUUUAGUUUUGAUAUGCAUGAAAUGCAAAGCAAAGGUUAUUUACAAGAUUCAACACACAACUUUUAUCUUUUAGUGAAGUUGGAAAGGUCAAGCACAUUAAGUUCAUUUCUCAACAUACAAAACCUAGCUUCAUCUAGGGGUUUUGUGAAGAUAUCCGCCAAUUGAUUUUCCGUUCCCACAUUCUCUAGGGAUAUGUCACCUUUAGCAACAUGAUCCCUAAGGAAGUGGUGACGGAUGUCAAUAUGUUUUGUGCGGGUGUGUUGAACCGGGUUGUUUGCAAGUUUUACGGCACUUUCGUUGUCACACAACAAAGGUACUUUGUCUAGUUCUACUCCAUAGUCUAGCAAAGUUUGUUUCAUGUAGAGUAUUUGUGCACAACAAGCACCGGCGGCUAUGUAUUCCGCCUCGGCCGUUGACAAAGCAACACUAUUUUGUUUCUUUGACAUCCAAGAGACAAGUGAUCUACCUAGGAAAUGGCACCCUCCGGAUGUGCUUUUUCUAUCAAUCCGGCACCCGGCAUAAUCCGAAUCGGAAUAGCCUACAAGUUGGAAUCUUGCACCUUUGGGAUACCACAAGCCUAGGCGAGGUGUGUAUUUUAGAUACCUAAGAAUUCUCUUGACGGCAAUCAAGUGAGAUUCCAUAGGCAUUGCUUGAUAUCUUGCACACAUACACACACUAAACAUUAUGUCGGGCCUAGAUGCGGUGAGGUAGAGUAGACUUCCUAUCAUGGAGCGAUAGAGAGUCUUGUCAAUAGGGUUACCUCCCUCAUCCAAGUCGAGAUGCCCAUUUGAUGCCAUGGGAGUCUUGAUUGGCUUGCAAUCCAUCAUCUUCAACCUCUUGAGAAGAUCUUGAGUGUACUUCUCUUGAGAGAUGAAGACCCCUUCCUUCAUUUGUUUGACUUGAAAUCCUAGGAAGAAGGAUAGCUCGCCAAUCAUGGACAUCUCAAACUCUUUGGACAUCAAAUCACCAAAUUCCUUGCAAAAGUCUUCAUUAGUAGAGCCAAAAAUAAUAUCAUCAACAUAAACUUGGCAAAUGAAGAUUUCCCCAUUCAUUUUAUUGGUGAAGAGUGUUGUGUCAACUUUCCCAAUCUUAAAGCCCUUCUCAAUGAGGAAGUCCCUAAGCCUCUCAUACCAAGCUCUAGGAGCUUCCUUGAGACCAUAGAGUGCCUUGGACAACCGGUAGACAUGCUUGGGGUACCUAGGGUCUUCAAAACCGGGGGGUUGCUCAACAUAGACAAGCUCAUUAAUAUAACCAUUUAAAAAGGCACUUUUCACAUCCAUUUGAAAUAAUUUGAUAUCAUGACUUGAUGCAUAUGCAAGUAGGAUACGGAUUGCUUCAAGUCUUGCCACCGGUGCAAAAGUUUCACCGAAGUCAAGACCUUCCACUUGUGAAAAGCCUUUUGCCACAAGUCUUGCCUUGUUGCACACCACUUUGCCUUGAUCAUCCUUCUUGUUCCGGAAGACCCACUUUGUCCCAAUCACUCUUGCAUCUUUGGGUCGCUCUUCAAGUGUCCAUACUUGGUUGCGAGAGAAGUUGUUCAACUCCUCUUGCAUGGCCAUGAUCCAAUCCGCAUCACGAAGAGCUUCCUCUAUAGUCUUUGGUUCAUCUUCAAGAGACACAAAAGCGUGAUGUUCAAUAAAUAAAGCAUGUCUAGAACGAGUAGUUACACCACGUGAUGGACUCCCGAUGAUGAGAUCUUGAGAGUGAUCUUGGAGGAGAUGUGAUGUUCUUCUUGGUGCCACUUGAGGGGUUGGUUGGGGAGCAUCAACAUCUUGUGCUUGUGCCACCGCUUGCUCAUGAGUGACUUGGGUGUCUUCAUGAGCAUCUCUCACAUCCUUGUCUUCAUCUUGUGGACCUUGUGAGGUGGAUGGUGGCUCAAUGACUUGCACAUCAUCAUCAUCUUCUUUAGGCUUGAUGUCUCCCACCGACAUGUUCUUCAUGGCAUCCCUCAAUGGUUCACCACCUACAUCAUCAAGAUUAUCACUUGCUCCUUGGGAGCCAUUAGUUUCAUCAAAUUCAACAUCAAAUGUUUCUUCAACCAUGUUUGUGGCAUGGUUAAAGACCCUAUAUGCUUUGGACUUUGAUGAAUAGCCAACCAAGUAGCCAAUGUCACAUCUUCUUUGGAACUUUCCCAAGUGUUGGCGCUUCUUGUAGAUGUAGCACUUGCACCCAAACACUCUAAAGAAUGAGACAUCGGGCUUCUUCCCAUUGAGCAACUCAUAUGGUGUCUUCUCUAGGAACUUGUGAGGAAAGAGCCGGUUUGACGCAUAGCAUGCGGUGUUGAUUGCCUCGGCCCACAUCUUCUCCGAAGUGUUAUACUCAUCUAGCAUUGUUCUUGCCAAGGUAAUCAAAGUCCGGUUCUUUCUUUCUACAACCCCAUUUUGUUGUGGUGUGUAUGUUGAGGAGAACUCAUGCUUGAUUCCCACUUCAUCACAAUAUUCUUCAAUGUUGGUGUUGUCAAACUCUUUGCCAUUGUCACUUCUAAUUUUCUUGAUCUUCACAUCAAAUUGAUUUUGAGUAUUCUUUGCAAACUUCUUGAAAAUUGAUGCAACUUCGGCCUUAUCUUGCAAGAAGAAUGUCCAAGAGUAACGGGAGAAGUCAUCAACUAUGACCAAGCAAUAUUUGUUGCCUCCAAGACUAGCAUAUGUUGUUGGUCCAAACAAGUCCAUGUGAAGUAGCUCAAGCACUCUUGAAGUAGAGAGAUAGGCUUUGGUUGGAUGAGUGUUUGCAACUUGUUUGCCCGCUCGACAUGCACUACAAAGUUUGUCCUUUUCAAAUGUCACAUCCUUCAAGCCUCUAAUCAAUUCUUUCUUCAUCAACUUCUUGAGUGUGCCCAUUCCAACAUGUGCUAACCUUCUAUGCCACAACCACCCAAGUGAAGUCUUGGUGAAUAAGCAAGUCUUUACAUUAACUUCAUUUGAUGAGAAGUCAACCACAUAUAAGUUGUUGUGCCGGAAGCCUUUGAAUAUCACUUCAUUGUCAUCUUCCUUGGUCACAAUUACUUCCUUCUUCUUGAAUAGGCAUUCAAAUCCAAGGUCACAUAAUUCUCCAACCGAGAGCAAAUUGAAACUCAAAGAUUGCACAUAGAGCACAUUGGUGAUGGAGUUGUCAUUUGAUAUAGCAACCUUUCCUAGACCCUUGACUUUCCCUUUUGAAUUGUCACCAAAUGUGAUCUUCUCUUGGUUGUCAAUAUCUACAUCAAGAGAGGUGAACAUCCGGGGAUCUCCGGUCAUGUGUUGAGUGCAACCACUAUCAAUUACCCAAUGUGAUCCACCGGUCUUGUAGUUCACCUACACACAAGAGAUCAAGCUUGAGAUUUAGGGACCCACAUUUGCUUAGGGCCCUUGACCUUCUCUACUAGUUGCUUUGGCACCCAAAUCUUCUUUGGCCUUUGCUUGUUUGGUGGCCCCAUGAAGCUAACCUUGACCUUGCCACAUUUGUCUUUCCUUACAAUGUAAUGAGCAUUGAAGGCAAAUGGUCUUGCAUGCUUGGGCAAGGGUGGUGGUAGUGGUGCCUUACACUCAUGAGCAAAGUGUCCUUCUUGACCGCACUCAAAACAUCUUUUUGGCUUUGGCUUGCUUGCUUGAUCAUGAGUGACUAGAGACUUAAUGAGCUUUGUUUGAUGAGCCUUGUAGCCAAUCCCACUCUUGUCCAUCUUCAUGACGGUGUUCAUGAAAAGCUCACUUUGAAGGUCCUUCCCCUUUGUGAACUUUGCUAACCCCAUGGUUAGGUGUUCCUUCUCUUUCUUGAGCUUGUUGUUCUCUUGAGUUAGCUUCUUGAUGAUUGGGUCAUUGUUGCUUGCUAACUCAUCCAAGAUGAAUAUCUCAUCUUCUUCUUGCUUGUCAUACAUUAAACCAAGCUUGAGAUAUUGAUUUUCUUCUUUGAGUAACUUGUUCUCAUAUGCAAGUUUCUUGUCUUGAUCAAGUGACUCAAUCACAAUGGUGUUGUGCUUGGAUUGAUCUUGCAACUCUUUCUUGAGCAUGACAAUUUCAUCCUUGAGCUUGAUAGUGUCCUCAUAACUCUCGGCCACUACCACUUUCUUGCCCUUGCAAACAACACAUUUGCUUGUGCUCUCCACAAGUAAGUCAUCACAAGAUGUGGCUACAUCAAGCUUAGCAACAUUGUUAGUAGCAACAUGUGUUUCAUCAAUUGCAAGUUCAUAAGCAAUCUCAAGGUUGUCAUAGUUUGCUUUUAGAGUUGUUAGUUCUUCUUUCAUAGCUCUAUAUCUAGUGAUAAGCUCAUCAUGAACACUCUCAAGUUUAUCAUGUUUUUCUUUGAGCUCUUUUAGAGAGAGUUUGAGCUCCUUGAGCUUAGUGGUCAUGAUCUCAUUUUGUUCUCUAAGCUCAUCACUAGAGUUAAGCUUUGCUAGAAGUGUAUCAUUUUCAAGUUCAAGCUUUUCAUUUUCACUUCUAGUCUUUCUUAUGACUUUUGUGUAUUUGUUUAGCAAUUUUACAAGUUCAUCAUAAGAAGGUGAUUCAUAUUCACUAUCACUUUCACUACUCUCAUCCUCACUUUGUACCUUCCGGUCACCUUUGGCCAUAAGGCAUAGGUGUGUAGCGGAUGUAGAUGGUGGUGAAGAUGAUGGUGAUGGAGCAUCGAUGGCGAUAGCGGCAACCUUCUCAUCAUCACUUUCAUUGCCGGAGGAGUCACCACUUGAGCUUUCAAUGUCGGUGAGCCAAUCACCAACAAUAUAAGCCUUGCCAUUUUUCUUCUUGUAGUGCUCCUUCUUCUUGCCACCUUUCUUCUUGUAUUGCUUCUUGUCAUUUUUCUCAUCAUCACUUGAGUCAUCUUGCUCUUUGUUCUUCUUCUUGUACUUGUCCUUCUUGGGCUUUGGACAUUGAUGAGCAAGAUGACCAAGCUCACCACAAUUGUAGCAAUCCAUCUCGGAGAUGGGCUUCCUCUUGCUACUUGUGAAGAACUUCUUCUUCUUGGAGUCAAAGUUGACUCCAUUCUUGUUGAGCUUCUUCAACAUCUUGGUGGUUCUUCUCACCAAGAGGGCAAUAGAUGCAUCAUCAUCACUUGAAGUUGAUGACUCAACUUCAAUCUUCUUGGCUUUGCCCUUGUGAGAAGCUUUGAGAGCCAAGUCCUUCUUUUCUUUCUUGGCCGAUGAGGAGCUAUCUUGAGGGUUCAUGUGCAUGUACAUCUCAUGAGCAUUGAUCUUCCCCAAUAUGGUGGUUGGUGUAGCGGUGGAAAGAUCGCCUUGAUGAAGCACGGUUACUAUGUGCCCAUAUUUCUCAAUAGGGAGCACACAUAGUAUCUUCCUUGCUACAUCCGCCGUACUCAUUUGUGUAAGCCCAAGUCCAUUUAGCUCCUCUACAAUGACAUUCAAGCGAGAAUACAUUUCAUUAGCAUUGUCUUUAGGAAGCAUUUCAAAAGUAUUAAGCUUGUUCAUCACUAGGUGAUAGCGUUCCUCGCGUUCACUCUUAGUUCCCUCAUGGAGCGCACAAAGUUCCUUCCAAAGUUCAUUGGCGGUUUUGUGGUUCCGAACACGGUUGAACACUUCUUUGCAAAGACCUCUAAAGAUGUGGUUUUUGGCCUUUGCAUUCCACUUCUCGUUUUCUUGCUCUUGUGGAGUAAGAGCGGUGGCUCUUUCCGGAGGGGCAAACCCUUCGGUCGCGGCUUUUAGGCACUUUACAUCGCAUGCCUCAAGGUAUGACUCCAUCCGUAUUUUCCAAUACGGGAAGUCAUCCCCAUCGAACAUGGGUGGCGGUCCAUCCCCGUUAGACAUCUUUCUCUAGGCGGUGAAGCCUAAAUAAUGAGCACUAGGCUCCGAUACCAAUUGAAAGGAUCAAGAUGCCCAAGAGGGGGUGAAUUGGGCUUCUCUAAAAAUUUAAGCAACCUAUAAGCUCCAAUUCAACCCCUUGUGCCUAGUGUGACUUAGAGAGCUACCGGAUAAAAGUUUUGCAACCUAGUUCCAAUCCUAUUCUAGCAUGGCAAUUCUAAGAAUGUAAGAGCACAAAGUAAAUGCUAGAAAGUAAGGGAGUAGUGGAAGAAAAUGCUCGGCGAUGUUUUGCCGAGGUAUCGGAGAGUCGCCACUCUCCACUAGUCCUCGUUGGAGCACCCGCGCAAGGGUCUUGCUCCCCCUUGGUCCGCGCAAGGACCAAGUGCUCUCUACGGGCUGAUUCUUCGACACUCCGUCGCGGUGAAUCGCCCAAAACCGCUCACAAGCUUGACACGAGCCACCCACAAGAACUCCGGGUGAUCUUCGUGCCUCCAAUCACCACCGAACCGUCUAGGUGAUGGCGAUCACCAAGAGUAACAAGCAAAGAACUCUCACUUGACCCAAACAAGGCACUAGAGAGUGAUGGAUGCACACUUGACUCUUGGAACUCACUAGAGGAUGAUUCUCUCAAGAAUUCACUCAAAACUCAAUCCUCUCUAGGCUCUUUGCAACUCUCUUGCUCCACAACAAGUUUCUCUGAUGUUCAAAUGGGCAAGAGAGGUCUCAUGGACGAAGUGGAGAAGUAUAAAUACUAUCCACGAAGUCCAAAGGUCGGCCAACCGUUUUCCACUGAAAACGGGGUCACCGGACGCACGUUAUGUUGCACCGGACGCGUUGCACCGAGCGUCCGGUGUGACAUAACGGCUACCUGCGCUUUUCUCUGACAGGUCACCGGACGCUAACUCGCAGCGUCCGGUGCACCGUCCGGUGCUCGGGGAAACUUUACAUGUUCCCUGCGCAUGGGACCGGACGCUACCCGGCGCGUCCGGUGCUAGCGUCCGGUGCUCAGGGGAACUUUGCAAGCUCCCUGGGUAAGGGACCGGACGCUACACGGUGCGUCCGGUGCUAGCGUCCGGUGCCUAACCCUAAGCACGGCACUGUUCUAACGGCUAAGGACCUCACCGGACGCACUCACAGAGCGUCCGGUGCAGCGUCCGGUGCCCCUUUGGGCACCCAAACUUCGUCGAAACGCGAUCGCUCCAACACGAAGUUUGUUCCUCUCGAUCUAAGGACUAUCUCUAAGCUGCCUAGUGCUGGGUUUACCAAGUGUGCACCACACCUAAACCUAAAGCCUUGCCUAAGUCAAGCUACUAGAUCAAAGCCCCUCUUAAUAGUACGGUCAAAGGAAAAACAAGGUCCUAAACUACUCUAAGUGCCCUUAUUCACCAUGUGGCACUUAGACCUAGUCUAGUCUUGACGAUGUCCAUCCAACCUUUGAAAACCGAAACGAUUUCCACUAUUAAGUAGGCAUGUACGUCCCUGUCCAUCGAGUAUCUAUAUACCAUGACCUUACCUAUGACUUUGCCUCUGCAAAACACACGUUAGUCAUAGUAACCAAUAAUGUCAUUAAUCACCGAAACUCUAGGGGCCUAGAUGCUCUUUCACCGCCGAGCGCUCGAGGUUGCUAGAGUCGGUAGAGAAGAGGAAGAAGAGGCAGGGGAUGUGCGAACUAGUGCGGAGACUACAGAUUCAGGCCUGAUGAGCUCACUGGUCGCCCCAACCUCGCUGGAGCCGGAGAAGAGGGACAUGGAGUGGCAGAGGAGGAGGAGGAGGUAGAAGGUUGCCUGCAUAGUAGAUCCGGGCAUGGGGGAGCUAGAUCCGCCCACACCCACACCGGAGAAGCGUUGUCGGUCAUCUUCUCUGUGUCGGCGUCGGAACUACCACAGAGGCUUCGCGAGAGGGAGAGAAGGGAUGCAGAGGGUCGAGCCGCCGCCGUCCUUGCCGCCCAUUGGAUUCCUGGCGUCGAGCUCCGGCGGCGGCCCAGGCGAGAAGGCGUUGGGGAGGGACCUGCGGCGGCGGUGGAUGGAGCCGCCCGGUCGCCCUCGAGGGAGAGCGACGCGGGCAUCGGGUGUUUUUCCUUUCGCCAAUAAACAUAUUAGAGGAUACAAAUGUUAAUAAAAUGUUUUCUAUAAAUCUAGCUAAACUUAAAAACUUUGAUUUAUUCAAAAACGAGAUUUUUCAAGACGUGCGGAGGCCGUGUUGUGGAAUCUUUUUAGCUGAUAUAGGCUGUGGAAGAUUGAUUUUCAUUUGUUUGGAUAUAUUCAAAAGAUGCAUAUGCACUCACUAAGAAUCCAUACAAAAAUCUAUUUCUCUUUGGGAAAAGCAAGCAACCAAAGCCAUGGAAGCUAAACCUCCUCCCUCCUUUUAUGGGCAUGAGAGGCACAUUCUUUUCUUUCUUUCUUUUUUGGCAGCACCAGCUGUAUUACAUCAACCGCAAUAUGAACAUUCUUCAUAUGUUACAUGCCACAUGAUAUUACACUGAAAGUUGCAAUGCCAGCUUCAUUAUGAACCAAUUUUCAAUGGCACGUCACGCAGUCUCUCAAGAUACUCCUCGCAGCUGUGGACACGUGUGGUUCUUGCAUUUUGGAGUAUUGGAAUUGCUUGCAUGCUUGUGUUUCUUGCCAAGCGUCGCACAUCAUUCCACGUCGACAUAUACAUGGCCGGCAGAAAACACUUAUGAGUUAUGAUCGAGGACACCGGUGAUAUUGAUGCAUCCUGCCAACUGCCAACUGGUCUAGUAUAUAGCUAAACUAUAGUGACUAGCUAGGGUCUUAAAUUUCGGUAUUAAUUUUUUUCUGGUCACCCCAAAAUUACCAAAUUGUGAAUUUCGACUGAAAUCUCGCUGAAUUAUUUUAAGACUUAAACAUGAGGUAUUAUUUCUCUAAAUUUCUGAGCUCUGAAAAAUAUUAACAUUUAGGAUUACACAUCUAUUGAGUUAAAGAAUAUUCAAUAUAAUCAUAAAUGUUCGUAUUUUUUCGUAUAGUUUGAUCAAACUUAACAUCAUUUGGUCUUUUGAAGAGAGAGAAUUAUGCUCCCCCCUUUUUUUGAUCAAACUAACCAAACAAUCCUGUCGACCAUCGUUCGUAGUACAUGCUCGUGCUACGGCUUGGUCUUCCUCUCUGGAGUCGACGAUGCACGCACCCACUAGGUUGAAUGAACGACGCGUUCCAAACCCUGAAGUUGAAGAGAUCACCCCAGCUGUGACCAGUGAGGCAGUGACCAACACGACUUUCAGGUUUAAAUUCAGUCGCUUUAUAACGCACUGCGGCAUGACUGGUGAGCCUCCGGUCCUCUCCAACCAUCUGCAGUUCAUGGAUCCGUGCAAGUACACAUUGCGUGCGUACUUUUCCAGCCAGUAGCUGAUUAGUUCACCUAAUCCAAUCCGCGGGCUAAUUAACUCCGGACACAUUUUUGGCAGAUCGCAUCACAUGCCUUGCUGCCUCCCCGUCACGGGGCUGCAAGGCGCCAGCGUGCGCCACCCCUCGCUGCCUGUUUUGGGCGAUCAACACUGUGGGUUGGCAACUAACCGGUGCUGCACUACUGACACAGUGUCUGGGAAAAAUUGUGCUAUAUGUCCCACAUGCCACAUGAGCCAAAUGAGCUCACAGGAAACUGCACAAGACAAGAAUCUCUGCACAUAUAUAUGUACGUCUAGCAGCCCGACAUUGCCGCUGCAUGUUUGCAAUUCAAAAGUAGCCAAUGGAUGGACAAUAAUACUCCAGUGGCUAGGUAUGUAUGUAUAUGGUAGUGGCAACGUAUCGAUGUGCUGUAGUAUUGUAUAUGUAUAUAUGUGGUGGUUGUAGUAUAUGGCAACGGAGGGCCAGGCCUAGAUGGGACAAACAUUGUAUAAUAAACUCGGUGGACUUGUCCGGCUGCGGAAAUAGAAUAUCUCCACCAUAUAUAUAUAUAUGUAGGAGUUCAUGUCAACCAAGCAGCCAAGUCGAAUCCCACAUAUAGUAUAUAUAAUUAUUUAUCCAGUAACAAAGAAACUAUAAUAAUAAAGGAAGAUAUCAUUUUCGCAUCCGUGCUUCCUCCCCUCGCAGCAUAUUCUUAGUUUCUUACGCGUAGGAUUACGGUAUUACCAGGGCUUUGUUUAGUUCACUUCGAAAUCCAAAAAGUUUUCAAUAUUCCCUGUCACAUCGAAUCUUACGGCACAUGCAUGAAGCAUUAAAUAUAGACGAAAACAAAAACUAAUCACACAGUUUGACUGUAAAUCACGAGACGAAUCUUUUGACUCUAGUUAGUUUAUGAUUGGACAAUAUUUACCACAAACAAACGAAAACGAAAGUGCUACAGUUCCAAAAACUUUUCAGUUUUCGGAACUAAACAAGGCCCAGUUUAUAGUUACCACACCAUCAGGCUCGGGAGAAUUCUGACGGAAUAAUUCCAUGUCGCGAUGUUACCUCGUCGUGUCAGGGGCGUGAAAACACACGAGCGGGCGGAUUAGCCCAGGGCGGCGCGGUUUCCGACGGUGAUGCCGUCAUAUGCCGACCUCUGUGAGUCUCUGACGCUGAGCGAGAGCGAUCGUACUCGUACGUGCGGCGAAGUGUGGAGUGGCGGAUUUCGAUCAUGGGCGCGUGCACAUGAUCUGCUAGCUAGCUUGAUCCAGUUCGAGACACGCCAUCACGUGCUUACGGUUGCCGUCACGUCGAGGCGCUUUUAAGAGUGCCGUUGUGUAUAACAUUUUCGUUUAUAUUUAAUGUGACGAAUAGUAAAAUAGUAAAAUAAAUAAAUCAUUGUUAACUGCUUAUAACAUUUUCGUUCAUUUUUUGUACAAAUAGUAAAAUAAAUAAAUCAUUGUUAAAGUAUUUUUAUUGACAGAACAAGUCAUAAUAGAAUAAAUAACAUUUAUAAUUUUUAAAAUAAGACGAACGAUUAAAUAAGAAGUCUGAAAAUAAAAAACGACACUUUCAAUGGGACGAAGGAAGUACCGGUUAGCUAGCUACUACUGUUCGCUUGUCUUAUAAGCCGUACGUUUUCUGCCAGCCAAUAGUAUUUUUCUCUCAAAACAAAUCAACGAACAAUAAUUUCAGCUAUGACUUUUCACACCAACGAACAUGUUGAACUUUCAUAUGGUGGAAGGUGAAUGUUCGAGUUCAAAUUUUAAAUCCUCAACUAAACUAGGAUGCACCUAUCUUUCUGGAUUUAUUAUUUCUUCGCUGUGGUUGGUAAAAUCCGUCUGUCUCACCCUAACAACUUGGGUCAGUCGGGCCUUCUAUCUCCCACUAGCAUCAUGGGGCGGUUGGUGCCCGUGGUCAGUAGGAGGUCGAUCCGCAUGGUUGCACGAGACGACGAUGUUGGUUGUGGGCAUGGGUGCAGAUGCUCUCUAGGAGCGAUAGUUGAGUCAGACGAGCCUCUUAUCUCGCCCUAGCAUCCUAGUACCCAACUCUCCUAGCCUUUGCCACCGUCCAACUCCCUUUUUUUCUGUUCUCUCUCAUGCUCUGACCGUUCAGUAUGACGUUAGUCAUGGGCAUAUGACGGUUGAUCCUCGUUGGGUCCGACGUCCUAAGGCUCUUGUCUUGCCGUAACAUCCCAGCACCAACUCUCCUGGUCUUCGCUGCCAUCCAUUUCCUCCUUUUCUCUUCUCUUUGAUGCUCUAGCCCUUCAGUGUGACGCUAGUCAUGGGCCUAGGGCGGCCAGUCCUCCUCAGGCCAGUAGGAGGCUCAUUCUGCAUGGCUAGUGGUUGGCUCUAAUCUGCAUAGGUGACGAACAGUGCUGGUUGUGGGCCUAGGGUAGCUAGUCCUCCCUUAACAAAGAGGCUAAUUCCACGUGGCCAAUCUCCAAUUCAGCUAGGGUUGCUUGCUUUCUAGCAGUUGGUGAUGGAUGUGUGCCUAGGGCGCCGAUGCACCCUUAAGAGUAGCAGUCUAGUCUCUUCCAUGUUGCGACUUCCUAGAAGGGCAUGUUGGCCCCUUGGGGUUAUGACCAAUCCCCUUACCUCUUUGCUCCUCGUCUCCUUGGUGGGCUUAGGGCGUCUUUCAGUGGUUGCGUGCGUGGUGGUGUCUAUUGUCGGUGGGGACGUGCUAAUAUGUGGUCACUGGCACUUUUCUUCGGGAUUGGCAUCCUCUACGUAGGGCGCUGAUGGGUUGCGAUAGGUCAUUUACUCGAGGACAAGGUGAAAGCCCAGAUGACGACAUUUGUGGAUGUUGCUUCCUCUAUGGAGGCAUCCUCUCCAUACCUCUCAUCUUGCCCUACAUGGUUUUGCAUGUGGAAACUUCUCUAUGGUGGCUGGCAUCAUUUACUUUCUAAAGGCUUUGCUAUGAAUUUCUAGCUCCAUUGUUCCUCUAUGGCGGAGUCCUUUGUUGGUGGUGCUCGGUUUUGUGUAGAGUAUGUUAGUUGUGUUGUAUGUUGGUGUCCAAGAUAGUUAUUUCGCUAGUGGUUGUUUGGGAUGUGGUGCCCUUGACUUAGUAGUUAGGCUAUGUUUCGACCAAGUUGUUUUUAGGUGAGUCUGGUUGUAGUUGAGUUAAUACUUGGUUCAUUUCGAGCAAACAAAUUCUAUAUAGUUUACACGCAGAGUGGAGUUGAUAGUUGCUGGUUGUUCAGUCAUUGCGUUAUAGCUGUAUGAGGUGAAUGGUGUUUUCCCCCCAGAUAUUUGUUUUUUAUAUGAUUUCCACUCCAAAAGCUAGGCUACCCUUUUGUUCUUUUAUUUACUUCGUCUAAUAAAAUUUGCCACAAAGUUUUUGCCGCCCCUUUUGAAAAAUGAUUGUACGUGCCUGUACCGUCAUUAAAAAAAACUAAUUGAUAGUCAAUGUACUUAUCAACUCCGAUUAAUUUGAACUAACUUUUAGCCUAACUGAUUUCUCCCUUCCUGGAAGGUCCCUAAGCUUGAACAUUAAGGCCCUGUUUGGUUCCCCUUGCUAAAUUUUAGCUAGCUAAACUUUAGUCACUUUAGUAGCUAAAGUUCCAAACACAUUGAGUAAAAGGAGCUAAAAUAGUUUAGUUUCAUUAGUCAUUCAAGAGUAGCUAAAAUAAUUUUAGCUAGCUAAAAUUUAGCAAGGGAAACCAAACGGGACCUAAAUUCGGUGUAUACUUGAAAGAUGUAUGUCCGAUAAGAUUUGAACACUAAACUACGUGUAUGGACUGCUUGGAGUCGACGAUUUGUCGCAAUAAAAAUAUCUACAACUAGCCUUAAUGGUACGACGUCAGUACGAGUACCUCAAAGGCCAACAGUUCUCUGCAUCUGUAUCUACACAUCUACUAUAUCUAUAUUUAUAUUUAAUAUUAUAUACUAUAGUGGAAUAGUAUUCUUUUAACUGUCUUUUUUUUUUUAAUUUUCAAAGUGCCCUCGCAUCACUCAUGAUAUGAUCUGUAUUUAAUUUAGACUUACCAAGUUAGAAGUAUAUGUUUAGGGCAUUUACAAUGCAAACUCUAUUAUUACGUCGAACAAUGUGGACUUAGAGUCUAAAUAAGACUUAUAGUCUUAUUGUUUUCUAUCUUUUUUUUAAAAUAAAUAUGCUGCCACAUCAGCAAAAUACUAUAAAUAAUAUGUAAUUAAUUAUCUUAGACUCUAUGAUAGAGUCUUGCAUUGUAAGUGCCCUUAUAAAUCAAAUUCCAAUACAUAUCUCUACAACUAAAAAGAGCCGGAUGUUAUCGUCUGAUAGUCUUCAUCGCUUCACCCGUACGAUUGACCGCAGGUACGAUGUUAACUUCCCAAAAAAUACCACCCUUCCAGGGCUCCACCACAUGUCCCUUCACAUAAUGCCACCAACCGGUUAAUCGACCUCCACGCACCCUCCCGACGCCGCAUCCCCUCCACUCCGCCCCCACGGCCGCCGCCCCUCGCCCCCACUGCCGACGCCGACGCCGCCGCAUCCCCUCCACUCCGCGAGGCCCCUCCCCUCCGCCCCCUACUACCGCCGCCGCCGCAGCCCCUACACUCCGCGAGUCUCCUCUCCUCCGUCCCCAUUGACGCCGCCGCCGUCGCAGCCCCUCCCCUCCCCCGGUUGACGCCGUCGUCGUUCCUCCACUUUGCAAUCCCCUCCGCUCCCACUGACGUCGCCACUGCCGCCCCUCCCCCGCGCGAUCCCCUCCGCCCCGGACCUAGCGAAGCCGGAGUUCGGGCUCGCCAAGCUUCUGCCAGGGCAGGACCACGCCGAACACGACAACGGUCCUGAGCGCCCCCUGCGACCACGAGUGCGAAGCUGGCGCCGGUAGGUUGGGCAACCUCGAUGGAAUAGGUAAUUCCACAACACUGGAAUAGGUAACUCUCGAGCCACAAUCUCUAUCAUGUUUGGAUAUUAUCACCAGCACAUAUUACUCGUGUGCAAAAGCUAACACGUGCUUAUUAUUUUUUUAACAUACAAAUUUUUCUCUCCAGCAUUAGAGAGUACAGAUAAUCUAGAAUAAGUUAUCUUUCAGUGAAAUUUUCCCUGAAUCAAUCAGUUAUAUCUUUCAGUGAAAUUGUGCUAUAAUCAAGCAUCCAUUUUCUAUCAUAGCCGUGUUGUUUAUUUACUAAAUAAAGGAACUAAACUUGAAACUGUACUUGAAUAUGGACCAAAGAAUCAAACUAAUGUUUAAAUAUACGAUCACCUUGCACACCACCGAUAUAAUACUAAAAAAUGAGGAACACACAUAGUCUCUUAAUAUAUGACACAUGCAUGUAUCAGAGACACCACGCAAGAGCAGAAUUGUUCUUCUAGAAUUUCUGAAAGUAUUCAGAUAAAUAAUAGCAGUUCUCCAGAUGACUCUUCUACAGCAUGGCAGCAACAGCUCUUUCUAGAGAAAUUUGUUCAGCCUAUCACAGAAUCCUACUUGAUACUGAAGAGUUUAAUCGCAUGAUGAAAAAAAAUACUUUGAUAAUCAGAAUCCUUCCUGCGUGUGAUCCCAGUUAUAUUUUGUGGCUGACAUUUCCUUUAAACAAUAUUUAUGAAUCAAAUAAUCCUGACCUCUCUAUGCGCUACCAAGUUGAGUCUUCAUAAUAACCUUUAGGCAGUCAGCUCAAGUCUUACUAAAGUACUGUGAUACAUAAAAAAGAAAUGCCAUAAAAUUAGAGUCUAAUAACAGUUUUGCAAGUUACAGAGUAAGCUAAUCAUAAACCUUGGACUAAUAGAUAACAGAUCAAAAAGGUCACAUAAACAAAAAGGCAGCAUUAAUAACAUGCAAUUAAACUGCUCAUUUUCCUGAAUUUAGGUAGACUUCACAAUGCUAACAGUAGCUUACAGCACUUCAGAAGCAUAAUACUAUGGCUCGGAGUGCAUAUUUGUGUCUUAGUCAUACAUGCUUGUCAUGUCUUUUGAUUGUUUGUGUUGGAGAUCACAGGUUACAGGCUUAAGGACAUUGGCCAACCUAACCAGUAGCCAUCUUAUCACAAUUCACAUUGUACUUCCUCUGGAAGCUAGAAAUAGUCCACUAACUAUAUGGAAACAAAUAAAUCUCUAAUGGACAACACUAACUAAAAAUAGAAUACAUUAUUUGUUGCUGAGUAUUGUAAAACUACAUAUUUUCCUUGUUUAAGAAUUACUACAAUAUGUCAUUAAUUACGAGCUUCUGAAUGCUGAAGUUCUCCCAUUACAAAGUAAUAGGCUAUCAGCAUGGCAGCAUCUUUAAAAAUAUCUAUUUUUAAGUAUGCUCACAUAUCAGUUGUAAUUUGUUCUACUAAAAUUUACAUCUGUAAUGUGCAGUGGGACAAUCUCGCCGCCAGACGACCUCGCUAAGCCUCUGCCAGAGCAGGAGCGCGGAGGACAGGGCAACGGUCCUGCACUGCCAUCAUCGACUGCUUGCCACUUCCAGGUUACCUUGUUUUGCUCUUUUAUUCCUCCCUAUAUUCUCAAGAUUUGAAUUGAAUGAGUGGCGUGCGUGUGUUGCAACGGAAAAAUAGUCACAACCUAAAGACUGAACCAUGACACGUUGAUAGUAAAUUUAGAACUAUGUGAAGCAUUGAGAUACAUGAAGCUCAAUAUCAAAUAGCUAAUUUUCAGCUAAAACAGUAAAAUACUUCAGGAUUGCAUCACAUCUAUUAGAGCUAACUGAACACAAGACUAAAGCAACAUUGAAAUAAUUUAUUAACUCUAUAAUGAGAGCUGAGGACUGAUUUUUACUCGUGCAGUCAUAUGCAUAUUUCUGAUAAGACCCACAUGUGAGCCAAUAUGGUAAGAGAGAGCUCCCUAUUUGAUACAAAAGCAAUUACCAAGCCGGCAACCUAAUUUGCUAAGUUCUUUAGAACCAGUACCAAUGCAUCACCCUUCCUACUUGACUUGUUAUGGUAGUUUGCACCCUUUCGAAGCAUGGCUCACUUAUUGUAGGCGUAUCAGUUAACUGUAGGCCAAUCGAGUUGCCAAAAAUUAACCGCUCAAUCAAGUUGGUAAUUGUCGAUUGUUGAUUUGGAAAAUAGAAAACAAGUGCAUUAAAAAUAGAAAACAAGGUUAGGAGCAUGGCAUGGUGGCUGGUUGGCUGGCUUAAUUGAUUCUUGUUUGAUUAUUUGCAAGUGAUCAUCUUUUUUGGCAAUGUCGUGGUCCUUGGUUACGUUGCUUCAUUUACCAAAACUUUUCUCAAAGUCACCCUCACUCAGCCACCAAAUAUAUCUAGGUUCAAUAUUACUUGUAAACUUAUUUCUUCAAAUAUGCUAAGCUAGAUUUACAAAAAUGCUCAACAAGGUUUACAAAUCUGCCUUUACUUUCUGAACUUCCAUGUACCAUGACUAAAACUGCCAAUUGACAUUGUUAAUUUUAAAUUGAGCACAAAUCUUUCAAUAUAUCUUAUCAUUCAAUAGUAGUUUGAGGAAAAGACAUUGCUAACAAUCCGAUAAAUACUAAUAUGAAGAAAAAUCUAAAGUUUUUUAGGGUUCCAUUAAAUGGAGAAUAGCGGUUCACGUACACCAUUCGGAGACAACACCAACACUACCAAUGGAGGUACUCCUGCGAAACAUCAUUUUACUAUAUUAUAAUUUUACUACAGGAUGUAUCAUGUCCAAUUCAUGACUGUGAACAGGAAGAUCUAGAGUUCGCAAAAGGGAGACAGAUAGCGCUCGAUGGCACGGAAUGUCUCAAGAGAAAAGGGACGAUACAAAUAGAAAACGUCGAGAAGCGUAUAAAAGAAGAAAGGAGAGAAAGGAGCAACACCUAUGUAUCGAAAAUACCAAUGGUAGUAUAGUAGAAAUGUUGGUGAAUGACAAUAUAAUACACAUAUUACUAUUGGUGAUUCUUAUAUUUGAUGUGUCACAAUUGGUAGAUGGUGUGGAUGCAUCAAACAAGGAAAAUAUUGAUCCUACUGAAACAGAUGAUUGGUUGCAUAAGGAUGAUUCAUUCCAUGCAAAAAACAUUGAUGAUGAACUUAUAUCCAAUCAGUUACCAGGUAAUUAAAUUGUUGCUAAUAUGGGACUCAUGACUACAUUUUUGUGUUGGUGAAUCUAUCAGUAGCUUUAUAUAUGAAAAGAGAUUUGUUGACGGAUAUCUGGUGUAUUCUUGUUGUUUUGCUACUAUUUAAACUCAAACACAACUAUGUAGGUGGUGAGGUAAUUACUGCUCGCAACAUGGUUAUGAAUUAUCAAAAGCAAUCACAAUGCACCCAGGAGCAAAUCAUGGCUCAUCGUGCGUCGUCUAUGAAGAGCCAUGCAAACAUGACACAUGCACAACGGGAACAAAGGAAAAAGCGACAAAAGCUUUACAAUCAAGCUCCAUCUCGUAAAGAGGCAAUGAAAGUUACUACAAACCGCUUUAGGGAGAUACGGAGACACACCUUAAAUAGUGAGUCCAUCGCAAUGGAGAACCCACACUUUAAUCCAACGAUGGAGUGGCCCAUUGCAAACUCAUCCGGGCCUCAGGGUCCCACAAUAAGCCCCAGUGAUUGGACUAUCCCAGAAUCCAGUGCAACACCUAUUUGCUUCCCCCCACAAGUGAAAGAGGAGACAUAUGAUGAUGAAGAUGAAUGCGGUGAUAUACCAUCUGGUCACACGACACAUAGACAAAAUGUACCAUCUGGGCAAAGACAUGUAUUGUUAGCGCAUCGUAACACUAUGUUCGAGCGCCGCAUCGGUCAAAGCACAGGAGUAUCUAAUAAUGAUGGUGAAGACCACAAGGAUGAAAAUAUGCCCUUACCUCAGUCAACUAUGACGAACAACGGUAAAUAAUGAGGUAUCCCUAUCCCCAUUCCUUGACAUGAAAAAACAUUAUUCCUAUCUUAACCAUGUCCAUUAUGUGAUUGACAGAAAGCGCUAGACCAAGCAAUCAACUUGCUUCAGCUACACCUGAACAACCAUUAUUUGAUGAUACAGGUAAUUUGUACUACUUUUAACAUUGUGUACAAUAUUUGCUUUCCUUUAAUGUUACCUAAGUUGUAAUAUAUCAUGGCACUAUGGCGAUCACAGAUGAUGAUGAGGGCGAUAUAUUUGAAGAUGAUGAGGAAGAGGAUGAGGGAUACUUGUUUGCUGGUCAAGGUAUUUGUACCAAAUACCGAUUACCUUUCUAAACAUCCACUCAUUUAUAUAACUUUUAUUUUUAUGUUCAAAUCAACAGAGGAAUCAGAUGACGAUGUCCAAAGUGAUACUACCGAGGAAGACACGACUUCUAACCUUGAAGGACCUGACCCGUAUGAAGUGGUGUAUAGUAACAUGCCUAGGGAGACACACAUGCUAAAACCUGUCCCAGAUUGCAAACAUUGUGGAGCAAAGAGGUUUCCAAAAGAACCUCCUGGGUUUUGUUGUCGCAGCGGGAAGGUUGAGCUGAAUGCGCCCGUCAUACCAAACCAGCUUAUGAGGCUUUGGACAAGCUCUGACGCGGAUGCUAGGCACUUUCGUAACAAUAUCAGAUUUUUCAAUGGCCACUUCUCUUUCACUUCCCUGUAUUGUCGCCUCGACAGUGCUACUGCUAACAUUAGAAACAGCGGCAUAUAUACUUUUCGUGCACAUGGCAUGAUCUAUCACAACAUAAGGUCAUUUGGGAGAGAAGAUGGUAAGGAGCCCAGGCAUCUUGAGCUUUACUUCUAUGAUGACGAUCCGAGCCUUGAGUACCGGUACCGAAGGUGUCGUGAAGAGCAGUAUCAAAAAGAUAAAGAAGUUAUAAAUAGACUGGUGGCCAUCCUUCGUGAAAACCCGUACUCACAACAUUUGAGGAGUCUGGGGAACACUGAACACCUCGAGGACUAUCGUGUGACACUUAACCUCGAUCAGCGAUUGGACCAAAGGACAUACAACGUGCCGAUGGCUUCAGAGGUGGCUGCUGUUUGGAUCGAGGGUAGUGAACUCCUUGGUCAAUUUCAGAAUAGUGUUGUCCUACAUGGGAAAGAUAGGAGUAGGCAUGGCAUCCGAUCAUACCAUGGAUGCUAUGAUGCUCUUUCAUACCCACUCUUUUUCCCUAGAGGUGAGCUUGGAUGGCAUAUGGAUAUCCCAAAGAAAGGUGUUACUAUGGAGGAUGUCAACACGGCUCGUGCCCUGCGUAAGGCUCGUAGUGGUAUUGAAGAAGAAGAAACAGGUUUGUAUAUCUUCUUGUACUUUUCAUGCAUAUCAAACCAUUAUCACAUGAACACCUCUAAUACCAUAGUUUUUUCAGACUCUCCGGGAAAUUUAUGUGUUUCUGUGCGUGACUACUACUGCUACAAGUUCCAGAUACGACCAGGAAUAUUUAAUCCCAUACUUUAUGGCAAGCGUCUUUUUCAACAAUUUGCAGUGGACACAUACAUCAAAAUCGAGAGUUCUCGAUUGGAUUACAUACGCAAUCAUCAAACUGAGAUUAGGGCUGAUCUCUACCAAGGAUUGGUUGAUAGCCUACAUGCUGGUGAGGGUAGAUCAGAAGCUGUUGGAAAGCGGACAGUGAUGCCUUCAUCGUUUAUCGGAGGCCCGAGGGACAUGAGACGUAGAUACAUGGAUGCCAUGGCACUGGUGCGAAGGUUUGGAAAACCAGAUAUAUUCCUGACUAUGACAUGUAAUCCAAAGUGGGAUGAGAUCACACGUGAGUUGUACCCUGGACAAACACCACAGGAUCGUCCAGACCUUAUUGAUCGGGUCUUUAGGGCAAAACUAGAAGAGCUUAAGCACAUGUUGUUAAAAAAGGAUAUCCUUGGAAAGGUUCGUGCACACGUGUAUGUUGUGGAGUUCCAGAAGAGGGGUCUACCGCAUGCACAUUUUUUGCUAAUCAUGGACAGACGCUACAAGAUCACGUGCCCAGAGCAGUACGACCUUCUCAUCUCUGCCGAACUCCCAAACAAGAAGAAGUAUCCAGACUUGUAUAAAAUGGUUACAAAGCAUAUGAUGCAUGGACCUUGUGGAGUACUUAAUCGCAAUUGUCCGUGCACAAAGGGCCGUGAAUCAUGCAAGAACCGUUACCCACGACCUUUCUGUGAUGCCACAUUACAGGGCAAGGAUUCAUACCCAGUUUAUAGACGACGAGACAAUGGUAGAAAAGAAAAAGUUCGCGGACACGAGCUUGACAAUAGAUGGGUCGUGCCUUAUAACCCAUACCUCCUACGUUUGUUCAACUGCCACAUCAAUGUUGAGGCGUGUGGGAGCAUCAAGGCCGUGAAGUAUUUGUUUAAGUACAUUUACAAGGGUCAUGACCGCACGUCUGUGGCUGUGAGAGAGGCUGACAAGGAGGACAAUGAAGGAAACAUCGAUGAGAUCAAACAGUACAGGGAUGCUAGAUGGGUAACUCCACCAGAAGCCUUGUGGAGGAUAUAUGGUUUUGAUAUAAGUGAUAGGUCCCCUUCGGUGUUGUCCUUGCAGCUCCAUCUUCCUAAUAUGCACAUGGUGUCAUUUUACCAGCGCGAGGGUGUUCGACGUGUGCUUAAUCGUCCAGGUGUUGAAAGGUCGAUGCUCACAGCCUACUUUGAGAAGAACAACACAUCUGAACAUGCUCGCGGUAUAUUGUAUCGAGACUUUCCUGAGUACUAUAAGUGGGACUCACAAGGAAAACAAUGGAUUAGGAGGGCACAAAAGAAUCAUUUAAGACAGAUUGGAAGAGUUGUAUGUGCCAAUCCGGCUGAAGGGGAGCGUUACUAUCUUAGGGUGCUUCUAAACCACGUGGCUGGUGCUACCUCGUUCACUGAUCUAAGGACAGUGUCUGGCGAACUACUACCAACUUUCCGUGAAGCUGCAGAAAGAAGGGGCCUCAUUGAAGCGGACAACACGCUGCACGAGGGCCUUGCUGAAGCUACUCUGUGGAUGAUGCCAUAUGCACUACGAAGGCUGUUUGCAACAAUUUUGGUUUUCUGUGAGCCGAGUGAUGUAAUAGAACUCUGGGAAAAGCAUAAGGAGGCAAUGUCAGAGGACUACAGGCGCAAUAACCAAUCUAGCUUUGCAGUGGAGCAGAUGGUCCUCAUAGAUAUUCGAAAGUUGUUAGAAUCAAUGCAGAAGGACAUAAAGAUGUACCCACUUCCUGAUAUCGAUGACACAUAUGAUCCAUCCGGUGAUAUUCCUAGGGAGAUUUUUGAGGAGGCUAGCGUUGAGGCAAGCAUUGAUGACAUGGCACUAUCAAAGACUCUUAACGAGGAGCAGCAGGCAGCCUAUAACGAGAUUAUGUCUGCUGUUGAUAGCGAUAAUGGGGGUUUGUUCUUUGUGGAUGGACCUGGUGGCACAGGAAAGACUUAUCUAUAUAGGGCCCUACUUGCUACUAUACGUAGUCAGAACAAGAUUGUCGUGGCAACAGCAACAUCUGGUGUUGCUGCGUCAAUAAUGCCGGGUGGUAGAACCGCCCACUCGCGCUUCAAGAUUCCCCUCACCCUCGAUGAUGGGGCCUUUUGCACCUUUACAAAACAGAGCGGUACUGCUAAGCUGCUUCGGACCACAUCCCUUAUUAUUUGGGAUGAGGUGACGAUGAUGAAGAGGCAAGGUGUCGAGGCGCUAGACAACAGCCUCCGUGAUAUCAUGGAUCGUCCUAACCUGCCAUUUGGGGGCAAGACUGUGGUGUUUGGUGGAGAUUUUAGGCAAGUUCUUCCAGUUGUUCGAAGAGGGUCUAGGGCUCAAAUAGUUGGUGCCUCACUACGGAUGUCGUACCUUUGGAAUUCCAUGCGACAUCUCAAAUUGGUGCAAAACAUGAGGGCAAAGAGCGAUCCAUGGUUUGCAGAAUACUUGCUACGCAUCGGGGGAGGCUCAGAGGAGGCUAAUUGUGAUGAUGAAAUCCACCUUCCUGAUGAUAUAUGCAUUCCACAGACUGGGAAAGACAAUGAUCUUGAUACAUUAAUUGACUACAUAUUCCCUGCCCUCAAUGCUAAUAUGUCAAACAAGAGCUACAUCACCUCACGAGCAAUAUUAUCUGCACGGAAUGACUGGGUUGAUAUGAUUAACAUGAAGAUGAUAAGUCGUUUCCAAGGAGAUGAGAUGGUGUACCAUAGCUUUGAUAGUGCAGUGGAUGAUCCUCAUAACUAUUACCCAUCUGAGUUCCUCAACACUUUGACCCCCAACGGUCUCCCUCCACAUGUGUUAAAGCUCAAGAUUGGGUGUCCGGUCAUAUUGCUAAGGAACAUCGAUCCUGCGGGUGGACUUUGCAAUGGAACCCGGUUGGUGGUUCGAGGGUUCCAAAGAAAUAUUAUCGAUGCAGAAAUUAUGGUUGGAGACCAUGCCGGAAAGCGAAUCUUCCUACCACGGAUUCCAUUAUGUCCCUCAGAUGAUGAGAUGUUCCCGUUCCAGUUUAAGAGGAAGCAGUUUCCUAUUAGACUCAGUUUUGCCAUGACGAUUAACAAAGCACAGGGGCAGACUAUCCCCAAUGUUGGUGUGUAUUUGCCUGAACCAGUGUUCUCUCAUGGUCAGCUGUAUGUUGCACUAUCUAGAGCCACUGCCAGAUCGAAUAUUAGGAUCCUUGUUGUCCCGCCCAGUCAUAGGAAUGAUAAGAAAAAGAAGACAAAAAUAAAUGGUAUAUACACGAAAAAUAUUGUCUACAAGGAGGUCCUCACUCUAUAAAAAGGUAUUAUCUGUUUUGUAUAGCUAUUAUAUUUUCUUACAUCUGUGUCCUUUGUUACUAACAUUUAUCAUAUUCAUUUGCAUUUCAGGUAGUAGAAGAAGUUUGUGAAUAAUAGGAGACAAGUAGUGUAUGAUGAUCUUUUGGACAUGUUACUGAUUAGAUGUACUCGUUAUAUUAUAAUAUGUUUUCAAUAACUAUAUGUGAAUUUAUGUUUAUGUUUAAUUCAUAACGUGAUGAUUAUUAUUUCUAACAUUUUUCUUUUCUUCUAUGAUUAAUAUUUAGCUUUAUAACAAAUAAAUUGUUAAUGAAUAGAUGAGAUUUUACAUAUGUUCUACACGUGUAGCUAUUCAUCAUAAGAUUCUAUAUAUACCCGUAGCAACGCACGGGCACUUAACUAGUUAAAACAAAUGACGUGAACAAGCACAACUUGUCAGGCGGCAUAUGCAUAGUAAGGUAUACCUUCCGCUAGUCGUCUUUUUUUUACUUCCCAUAAUACCCUCAUGUGUCUUCCUGUUUUGUCCAUGAUUUGUAGUUUUCGAGAUGCAUCUAAUAGCAAUAUAGAAUUUCUAUGUCGUGUACUCCCUUUAUCCCAUAACACCUGACCUUCUAUACCUGUUUCAAAUUAGGGCACGUUUGAUAUAGCUCUCUUCAUUAGUGGAGUAGUUUUUUUUUUGAGCUUUGGCUAGUAGAGCUGAAACUUUUUUCUGGGUAAAAUAGCUUCUUUUAACUAUAAAAACGGUGAAAUAUCUACAAUAUAUUUUAUUUUUUAAAAUUUGUUCUUUCUCAUUUCUUUCUCACUUAUUUUACUUUUCCCCUCUUAUCUUUCUACCUUAUCUUCUCUGCACAGACUCCGCCUCUUCUUUCCUUGCCUCCAUCAUCUCUGGCCUAGCCUCACGUACACGAAAAAAGAGAAGGUUGGAGCGGGUCCACAUUCACGCAUGCACAAGAAGGCCCGCGCCUUAGCGCCGCCAUAGUGGUUGUGGCCGUGCUCUCUCACCGUCAUGGCCACAUCCAAGGUUCCCCUCAUCGUCCGCCCCCAUUGACACUCGUAGUCAUGAGCGGCUGCUGCCCACGUGCACGGAGUCGAAUUUUGGGAUAGGGACCAUAAUGACAGAGGUUGAAGUACCCGAGUAGAUGAAACUUGUUUUUUUGGCUCCAACUCCUCCAAGUGGCUCUAGUACGUGGGUUUUGAGGAUAUUCACAAUCAAAGUUGUUUUCCUAGAGGUUGUUUGGUUCAUGAAGCUCAAAAACAGCUGGUCGAUCUCACUUCUUAAUGUAUCUCCUUUUCCUAAAUACAUUUGUACUUUUCCUUUGCUUUCUCGGUGCACUACACAAUUUACCCUGCACUUUAAUUUCCAUGUCUAGACCUAAAACACCAUCUAUGAUUAGACAAAUGGUAUAUGUGACUUGGAUUCACGAGCCAUGUUCAUUCAAUUUAGAACAACUUGCAUCUCUGACUUGAAGAAGUGUUCUGUGAUGGUACAUCAUUCGAUUUGAGUAUGUAUAGGAACAAAUGACGCUACUUGUUGAAUAAAUCUCCGAGUUAGCAGAUUAUUCAGGUGACCAUAUCACAAGGUUGGAACGCGCGGACGCAAUUGCUAGUUAAAAUUAGAUCUCGAAGGGAAAAAAAUACGUUAAUCAAUCAAGCGACAUUUUCUUUCGUGAACCAAUCGUUUCACCAGAGAACUCACGGUACUUCGAUGUCCUCUGUUUUCCCGAGGGGACCCCGUCCGUCGGAUGCGAGGCACGGACGGCCCGCGUCCGGCGCCGCCCGAUCUGGGUCACGCCUCCCCUGGUCUAGCGAAACAGGGCUCUACACGUGUACGGGGCCAGAUUUCCCGCAGCCGACGUGGUUAGUGCGUCCCAUCUGGCCCCUCUGGGCCCACGCGCCAGGGAGGCCGCGCCCGCUUUUAAAUAGCUCCUCUCCCCCGGCGGAAUCGGAGGCGGCCAGGCUCCUCCCUCCUCCCCCCUCCCCCCCUUGCAAAUCCUGAGAACACCACCACUCGUUUUCCUGUCCGGGACAGGAGAAAAGGGGAGAGAGGCGAGGCGCGGUGUCCGCCCGAUCUGCUCCGCCCCGACGCAGCUGUUCCGUCGUUCUCAGUCUCAGGUAUCCGCAUUAGCCUUCCUGGAUUAAAUCCCCCCUGCCACUGUUUCAUAGAUUGCUCUGAUGAAUGGAUUGGUUGAGGAAUCGGUUACUUUUCCAUUGCCCGGGGGUUCGAUUUUGGGGUUGCUGAGCUCGGCAACAGGGUGAUAGUUCGCCGUAGCGGGCUCGUGGGCCGGCCGUCGAUUCGGCGGCGGCACUCACUGUCGCGCCGCCGGGCCGGCCCGGGCCGAGCUCGUCGUCGAUCCGUAGCGUUUGGUGCGGGAAAGUAAUGGGGAUGCGGCUGAACUCGCCGUCGCGCCUGUCGGUCGAGCUCGACAUCGAUCUCACUCACCCGCACCCUCACCCGCGGACAGCCGCAGAGGCCUUGGCCUGCUGAUGUGGAUUUGCCUAGAUGAAUCCUGGCAAAGCACGCUUGUUUCUCAUCAGAUCUGUAAAGUAGAGUGGUGCCGUUUAGAUAUUUUUGCCCGUGCAAUGGGGCCAUGAUUUCUGCCCCCCUUCUGCCGCUACCACUCGUGGUGGGAAACAUGACAUGCCAACUUUGGUCACAAACUUUUCGCAGCUCCCGUUAAUCUUGUGGAUAAAAGCUGUGCUACCUUUACAGGUCUUUUGAGGCCAAAGGCAGCCUCUUUUUUUUCGGCGUUCGGUCCCUCCAUGUUCGGCAUCGCUGCACCUGCGCCGCAUGAUGCUCUGCAUUUGGCGGUCAACUGCUCUGUUUUUCGAGAGCGGAGUUGGCGAUGACCGCACACAAGAAUUGACUGACCUUUAGCUCGUGCAAUUGCAGCAUCGACGAAGCAACUUGUUUUGCUUUGACACAUAAAGAAAUAUCUACUUCCCCAGAUGGGAAACCGUAUAUGCUUUCUAGUGAUCAGGUGCUAGGAAUUUGGAGUAGAAAAAAAUAGAGCGUGUUUUCUUUCAAUCUCAAAUCUCAGUCAUGACGCACGCGCCCGAGGGCAGGCCGGCGGCGGGGGCCGCGGCUCGUUCCGUGGUGCUUGUCUGCUUGACCUAGAAAAAGGCAUCGUGAUGAACGACGCCCCACCGUCGGAUGUCUUUGGAUUUUGGACGGUGGCGACUGUCUCUUCCUCCCACGGGUCAAAACCACCUACUCGCCCUCACUGCCGGCAUGGUGCAUGUCAGGGCUCUGCAGCCGUGUCUGCGCAACGGUACAAGACGCAGGGGGUCACAGUCUGCAAGGCCGGCAGGGUCGGCACCGAAUUCCAGGCCCACAUAAUGGCAUCAUCGGUGCACGGUGCACCAGCAGAUCUGGGUACGCGUGGCCCCUCUUGUGAAUGGCCUGGUCUGCUGCAACUGGCUGUGCUACACUGAUGCCCUUGUUAUGCUGCACAAUUGCUGCUACUGCUAUGGCCAUGGUAGUCGCAUGUGCCAUCCAUUUGCCUGCUUGUAGGCUCUCCCGCACUCCAAUCAGAAAGAGACAAAUCAGUCGGACGCACUUGUCUUUUCAGAAUUAAUGCACAGUAUCAGCACAGCCAAGCAUCUCUUUCGACGGAUCUGAUGUCUGUCUCCAUCUUGGCGCCAUAGUUGGGUGGGUCGAGAGGACACGCUUGUGUCAUUUUGGCCAAUGGCUCAAGGGAGACAGAUAGCAUCCGAAUCCACCUUGUGGGAGCACAUGUGCAGCUUCGAGCAAUACUGGAUGCUGCACUGCUAAAGUUACUCAAAAUUGGUAACAAGAUGAAGCACACAGGCAACAAAAAUCGAAUCUUUCCUAUUUUUCGCACCAAAAUAGGCUGGUUCUUAGAUUAACUAAUACGUUGUGCUUCUUUUACAUUGCUAUAUGUGGCUUCACUAGGCUAUCGUAUUUCAACAUUUUUCCUUUUCUUCAUUAGUUAUUAGUUUCUCCUCCUUGCCUGGUCUUAUGACCAGACUGUAAAUCGAACUGUUUUACCACCACCUUCAAUGCAAAGGCAGAGCACCUGUGGCAUCUUAUGCUAAAAAUAAAAAUAUUUUGUGCCUCCAGGCUCUGAUAGGUUGCAUAUAGAAGGUUGACUUCAGAGUUCAUAUUUCCUAGCUUUUCAAAAUUGACCACUCCUACAAAUGAUGCAAGAUUGCCUUGUGUAUGGCUAUUGGAUAGCUUAGAUUUGACUAGAUAUGGUACCCUUUUUUUCUCGUUGAAUCUCCUCUACACGUUUUUGGCGCUUGUAGUCUCUCCUGCGUGCUGCUUUCCUAUAGGGUUAUUAAGAAGUCCUUUUGACAAAGCAUGCCGUCCAAUUAUAUGCAGUACCUCACAUUUUUCUCGAGGGGACUGUUGGACCAGUUAGUGGCACGUAACAUCACAAGUGACAUGACCUUAAUCUAUUUUCCACGUAUUGAAUUUAUUUGCGUACCAUAGUCUUGCUGUAAGACUUUACUCCCUCUGUCUCAAAAAGACCGAUGUUUUUUACUUUGACCAAUCAUAUUUGACUGUUCGUCUUAUUUAAAAAAAUUUGUGCAAAUUUUAAAAUAGAUAAAUCAUUAUUAAAGCACCUCUAAUGAUCAAAUAAGUUAUAUCAAAAUAGACAAUAUUUAUACAAAAGUUGUAAUAAGACAGAUGGUCAAACAAGAUGUCUAAAAGUCAACAACAACGGUCUUUUUGAGACGGAGGAAGUAUAUUUUAUUAGUCCUGUGUGGUGAUUCAGAACAGAUUUAGGCACAUCUGCAGCAGUGCGUGUGGCAUCUCAACUCAGGAUGCACACUUCACUUUGAAAAAGCGAAUCUGAAUUCUGAACAUGUAUCUAUGUUACAUAGGCCAUUGGGCUUGCACAUGCUGCGAUCAAUGCGAUCCCGAACUCGCUGUGGCACAUAGGAAUAUGUUUUGGCAUGAAAGUGAUGCGAUCAUGCACGGCACAUGCCACCUUUGUGGGAGACGCCUCUCGUGCCGUGAUUUGUUUUAUUUUGGUUGAUUGAUGUCUUUCUCGUACCCUUGCUGGAUCAGUGCCAACUUACUAGAUAUUUUUUUUGGGGGGUUCACAUGACAGCUUUUUGAUUGGAUGGGAUCGCUGUAAUAUUGUUCUUGAUCCACACUUGCUUGAUCUUAUUGUAACAUAUCUCGUUUGUGUUUGUGUCAGCAGCAAAAUGGGUGCCGGCGGCAGGAUGACCGAGAAGGAGCGGGAGAAGCAGGAACAGCUCGCCCGUGCUACUGGUGGCGCUGCCAUGCAGCGAUCUCCGGUGGAGAAGCCACCGUUCACGGUGGGUCAGAUCAAGAAGGCCAUUCCACCACACUGCUUCGAGCGCUCAGUGUUGAAGUCCUUCUCCUACGUGGUCCAUGACCUCAUCAUUGCCGCGGCGCUCCUGUACUUUGCGCUGGCCAUCAUACCGGCGCUCCCAAGCCCGCUCCACUACGCGGCCUGGCCGCUCUACUGGAUCGCCCAGGGGUGCGUGUGCACUGGCGUGUGGGUCAUCGCGCACGAGUGCGGCCACCAUGCCUUCUCCGACUACCAGCUCCUGGAUGACAUCGUUGGCCUGGUGCUGCACUCGUCGCUGAUGGUGCCGUACUUCUCGUGGAAGUACAGCCACCGGCGCCACCACUCCAACACCG